CACCGACGCUUAAGGCGCCUCCCUUCACCUCCGCCGGGGCACUGGGGGGGCUGGGGGCUUGGAGGAAGGCGCAGUAGCCAGAGGGGAAUUGCUGCUUAGUCGUUAUUUUUAGCGCCUCGCUCAACCUGUGGUGUCAGCCCGUGGACUAGAGAGACAUUGGAGAGUAUUGAUUGUUUGUAGACUGCUGCUCUAAGAACUUGGUCAGCUAAUGCCAUAAAGGUGUCUCUGAUGUGGAAGCCUUUGUUCCCAGUGAUACCCAGAAAGAGUACACCCCUGGAAGAACUAAUGUGCAGUAACCAGACUCUCACUGGUGGAUAGACUUUCAUCUCUCUUAGACACCGGGAGAAGUCUGAGGAUCAGCUGCAGAUUGUACCAAAAAGGACAAAGCCCUAGGAGAAACAGCUUGAAUUCCACCCUAUGUCAGAGAAACCUUCACACUGAGGGGGGUGGCUUUUUCACACCCCUGCAUGAUGUAAGUUACAUUGACUUAAGCAGUAGUUUA
RNAcentral lists this long non-coding RNA (502 nucleotides) under Gopherus agassizii (Agassiz's desert tortoise). Its description in RNAcentral is "lncRNA (ENSGAGG00000011585.1)". The record is from RNAcentral. Lineage: Eukaryota; Metazoa; Chordata; Testudines; Testudinidae.